GGAGAGAUGGCAGAGCGGUUUAAUGCGGCAGUCUUGAAAACUGUUGACGGGGUGACUCGUCCCGGGGUUCGAAUCCCUGUCUCUCCG
Molecule: transfer RNA, 87 nt
Filed under: Saprospiraceae bacterium
Lineage: Bacteria; Pseudomonadati; Bacteroidota; Saprospiria; Saprospirales; Saprospiraceae
Description: tRNA-Ser
Rfam family: tRNA
About the family: Transfer RNA (tRNA) molecules are approximately 80 nucleotides in length. Their secondary structure includes four short double-helical elements and three loops (D, anti-codon, and T loops). Further hydrogen bonds mediate the characteristic L-shaped molecular structure. tRNAs have two regions of fundamental functional importance: the anti-codon, which is responsible for specific mRNA codon recognition, and the 3' end, to which the tRNAs corresponding amino acid is attached (by aminoacyl-tRNA synthetases). tRNAs cope with the degeneracy of the genetic code in two manners: having more than one tRNA (with a specific anti-codon) for a particular amino acid; and 'wobble' base-pairing, i.e. permitting non-standard base-pairing at the 3rd anti-codon position.
Source: RNAcentral